This 1221-nucleotide small RNA is filed under the name uncultured bacterium. RNAcentral's name for it is "bacterial SSU rRNA". The stretch from base 1 to 491 matches the Rfam family "Bacterial small subunit ribosomal RNA", at positions 1045 to 1533 of the family's 1533-position model. The record is from RNAcentral.
AUGGCUGUCGUCAGCUCGUGCCGUGAGGUGUUCGGUUAAGUCCGGCAACGAGCGCAACCCGUGUCAUUAGUUGCCAACAGGUAAUGCUGGGGACUCUAGUGAGACUGCCCGUGUCAAGCGGGAGGAAGGCGCGGAUGACGUCAAGUCAGUAUGGCUCUUACAUCCAGGGCUGCACACGUGCUACAAUGGCUGGUACAGAGGGACGCAAUACCGCGAGGUGGAGCAAAUCCGGAAAACCAGCCCCAGUUCGGAUUGUAGUCUGCAACUCGACUACAUGAAGCCGGAAUCGCUAGUAAAGGCGUAUCAGCUACGACGCCUUGAAUACGUUCCCGGGCCUUGUACACACCGCCCGUCACAUCAUGGAAGCCUGCUGCACCCGAAGUCGUUGACCCAACCUGCAAAGGAGGGAGGCGCCGAAGGUGUGGCCGGUAACUAGGAUGAAGUCGUAACAAGGUAGCCGUAGGGGAACCUGCGGCUGGAUCACCUCCUUUUUAAGGAGUAAUUCAUCAGCGUUAAACCAACACUGGUGAAUACGGUCAAGCCCCAAUCGAUUGUAUCGCGCUUGGUAAAUCGCUAAGCAAGAUUCAAUCAUAUCAUUGGGUGUGGUUGAUGGUAACAUCAGCAAGUUAUAUAUCGUACGUUUCAAAUGUCAGGGACAAAUCCCUGGCGGAAUAGGAGCCGGGGCUAACGCGCCUAGGUAACCUGGCCGAACCCCUCUGGGGCUGUAGCUCAGUUGGCUAGAGCACCUGCUUUGCAAGCAGGCUGUCAGGGGUUCGAGUCCCCUCAGCUCCACCACUUGAGAAGGUAGAAGCCUGAAGGUAGAAGGCUGAAUGAAAUUUUCUCCUUCAUCCUUCCCCUUCCAACGGGCGUAUAGCUCAGUUGGUUAGAGCGCAUCCCUGAUAAGGAUGAGGCCCCUGGUUCGAGUCCAGGUACGCCCACCAUUCCGCCAUAUGAUUUUUUUCCGUGAGUCUAUCUCGCGGUGUGUUCUUUGAUAAGUAUACCAAUAGAAUAGAUUUCCAAUGCUGCAAUUUUAUAAAUUGCAAGCGAAAAUAAUCUCGCCACCGAAUUUUGUUUCACAACAUUUUUUGGUGGUCAAGCUACAAAGGGCACAUGAUGGAUGCCUUGGCACUGGAAGGCGAUGAAGGACGUGAUAAGCUGCGAUAUGCGUCGGGGAGUGGCAAAUACACUUUGAUCCGGCGAUUUCCGAAUGGGGAAACCCGG